UACGUAGGGUGCGAGCGUUGUCCGGAAUUACUGGGCGUAAAGGGCGCGUAGGCGGUUCGUACAGUCAGACGUGAAAUUCCUGGGCUCAACCUGGGGGCUGCGUUUGAUACGUGCGGACUUGAGUGCGGAAGAGGGUCGUGGAAUUCCCAGUGUAGAGGUGAAAUUCGUAGAUAUUGGGAAGAACACCGGUGGCGAAGGCGGCGACCUGGUCCGAUACUGACGCCGAGGCGCGAAAGCGUGGGGAGCAAACAGG
Molecule: ribosomal RNA, 253 nt
Filed under: uncultured bacterium
Lineage: Bacteria
Description: partial 16S ribosomal RNA
Rfam family: Bacterial small subunit ribosomal RNA
Source: RNAcentral